RNAcentral lists this ribosomal RNA (197 nucleotides) under uncultured bacterium. RNAcentral's name for it is "partial 16S ribosomal RNA". It matches the Rfam family "Bacterial small subunit ribosomal RNA", at positions 328 to 539 of the family's 1533-position model. The record is from RNAcentral.
ACGCUCGACACCUACGGGAGCAGCAGUGGGGAAUAUUGCACAAUGGGGGAAACCCUGAUGCAGCGACGCCGCGUGAGCGAAGAAGUAUCUCGGUAUGUAAAGCUCUAUCAGCAGGGAAGAAGAUGACGGUACCUGACUAAGAAGCACCGGCUAAAUACGUGCCAGCAGCCGUGGUAAUCUGAGCGGGCUGGCAAGGC